This 267-nucleotide long non-coding RNA is filed under the name Rhinolophus ferrumequinum (greater horseshoe bat). RNAcentral describes it as "lncRNA (ENSRFEG00010015020.1)". Lineage: Eukaryota; Metazoa; Chordata; Mammalia; Chiroptera; Rhinolophidae. The record is from RNAcentral.
AGGCCGGCCUCAUGGCUGGAAGUCAUGGCGGCGUCUAUCCGACUCGAGGGCGGCGAGCAGCCUCAGGCCUUUGGAAAUUAAAUGUGUUGGCUGUGGACUUGGACAAAAGUCACAUGAAAAACAUCAUCUUAAGAUGUUCCAGUGUAAGGAUCUUUGUGAUGAAAUUUCUAUAAAUGGUAAGAUUUUUGGCUCUUUUCACAGAAUUGCAUAGGCUCUGAUGCCUUUAAUUAUUGGUCGGCUAGAUUUUGGAGAUGUGUGGGUCUUUCA